Ribosomal RNA from Lactococcus lactis, 593 nucleotides. It matches the Rfam family "Bacterial small subunit ribosomal RNA", at positions 172 to 1533 of the family's 1533-position model. The record is from Rfam. Lineage: Bacteria; Bacillati; Bacillota; Bacilli; Lactobacillales; Streptococcaceae.
CAUAAAAACUUUAAACACAAGUUUUAAGUUUGAAAGAUGCAAUUGCAUCACUCAAAGAUGAUCCCGCGUUGUAUUAGCUAGUUGGUGAGGUAAAGGCUCACCAAGGCGAUGAUACAUAGCCGACCUGAGAGGGUGAUCGGCCACAUUGGGACUGAGACACGGCCCAAACUCCUACGGGAGGCAGCAGUAGGGAAUCUUCGGCAAUGGACGAAAGUCUGACCGAGCAACGCCGCGUGAGUGAAGAAGGUUUUCGGAUCGUAAAACUCUGUUGGUAGAGAAGAACGUUGGUGAGAGUGGAAAGCUCAUCAAGUGACGGUAACUACCCAGAAAGGGACGGCUAACUACGUGCCAGCAGCCGCGGUAAUACGUAGGUCCCGAGCGUUGUCCGGAUUUAUUUGGGCGUAAAGCGAGCGCAGGUGGUUUAUUAAGUCUGGUGUAAAAGGCAGUGGCUCAACCAUUGUAUGCACAAGCUAUGAAAAGUAAAUACACCAAAUUAUUGCUUGAAAAUUUCCUUUUAUCGCCUUAUGAAAUGACCGACCCAACAAUUAUGGCUGACUUGCAACAGAACCAAAUUUACUUUGUUCACAACCUUG